Molecule: ribosomal RNA, 465 nt
Filed under: Vreelandella stevensii
Lineage: Bacteria; Pseudomonadati; Pseudomonadota; Gammaproteobacteria; Oceanospirillales; Halomonadaceae
Description: partial 16S ribosomal RNA
Rfam family: Bacterial small subunit ribosomal RNA
Source: RNAcentral
CCUACGGGAGGCAGCAGUGGGGAAUAUUGGACAAUGGGGGGAACCCUGAUCCAGCCAUGCCGCGUGUGUGAAGAAGGCCCUCGGGUCGUAAAGCACUUUCAGUGAGGAAGAACGCCUGGUGGUUAAUACCCAUCAGGAAAGACAUCACUCACAGAAGAAGCACCGGCUAACUCCGUGCCAGCAGCCGCGGUAAUACGGAGGGUGCGAGCGUUAAUCGGAAUUACUGGGCGUAAAGCGCGCGUAGGUGGCUUGAUAAGCCGGUUGUGAAAGCCCCGGGCUCAACCUGGGAACGGCAUCCGGAACUGUCAAGCUAGAGUGCAGGAGAGGAAGGUAGAAUUCCCGGUGUAGCGGUGAAAUGCGUAGAGAUCGGGAGGAAUACCAGUGGCGAAGGCGGCCUUCUGGACUGACACUGACACUGAGGUGCGAAAGCGUGGGUAGCAAACAGGAUUAGAUACCCUAGUAGUC